Molecule: long non-coding RNA, 662 nt
Organism: Lolium rigidum
Lineage: Eukaryota; Viridiplantae; Streptophyta; Magnoliopsida; Poales; Poaceae
Exons: 3
Source: RefSeq, a predicted model, not a curated record
GUGGCAGCGCCGCAUCUUCUCCUCCCCUCGUCCGCCGCAUCUUCGCGACCACAAGAAACAGGACCAGCGUGUGGUGGGGACUGAAGAGGACGAGCAAUGCAUCAGCCUGGAGGAGCAGACCGCGCAGCUAGAGAAGGAGCUCAGGGUCAAAGAAAGGGAGACGCUCGAUGUGCUCUAGGAACUGGAGUCGGCCAAGAGGGUUAUCGUGGAUUAGAAGCUCAAGAUACACAAGAAAACAAUUGAGAUCAUGUAGAACCUGACGAGAAGCAGUAGCCUGAGGAUAACAACUGCUCUAUCGCUGAAUUGCCCACGACAGAACCUGAAGAGGAGAAGCUGUCUGCGGGAAAUGCUGAAGCUGAUGUGGAGAUGUGUGGCGGUCUCGACGAACACUCACAGCAGCAGCACCCUGACUCGGUUCUCAUGGAGCUCGAGCGCGCAAAGUCAAACCUGAACAGAACCACAAUUACUGGACUAGUAACCACAAAAGCUGAUGUCUUCAGCUGUGGUGUCAUUUUGAUGGAGCUGGUCACCGGACGGAGGGCGCUUGAUGACACGUAGCCUGAGGAUAGCAUGCACCUAGUUACAUGGUUCCGGAGAAUGACCUUGACGGGAGACCUUUGCCAGCGUUAGCACCGUCGCACAGCUGGCCGGUCACGGUGGGA